RNAcentral lists this long non-coding RNA (2986 nucleotides) under Homo sapiens (human). Its description in RNAcentral is "HSALNT0339019". The record is from RNAcentral. Lineage: Eukaryota; Metazoa; Chordata; Mammalia; Primates; Hominidae.
CAGUGACUUCAGUGAAACCAGGCCUAAAGGAUGCUCUUCAGUUCACAUCUCACUCCUCAGCAGCAUUCUUCACCGCUUGCCGCUCUAUCGUUUUGAAAUACCUGUAACAAGCAUGCUGCCUUGGUUUCCCUCCUAAAUGACCUCUGCUCCCUCUCCUCUCAAUAUCUUUCUCUCUUCCCCCCUGCCCCGCCGAGGUUGAGUAUCAUUAUAAUAUCAUUGUCUACCUAUUAUUGAAUGUUAGCAUUUCCCAAAGCUAGACCUAGUUCUGUUCCAUUCUCAACCUACAAUCUUUUCCUAAGCUAUUUCAUUCAUGUACAUAGUUUGAAUUGUCCUUUUAUGUAAUAUUAUAGAUGAUUCAAAAAUUUAUCUGAGCUCCCAUCACGUCUAUCUACCUGUUAACUUGAUAUUUCUACUUAUAUCUUUCUAAGCCAUCUCAAACUCAACUCGAACUAGACCAAACUUACCUAUCUACCUAGUCCAGCUGUACCAUAAACUUUGAUGCCUUAUUCUUCUUGAUGCCUCAUCCACAUUAACUCCACUUAUCACCAUAUUUUCACCUCAAACACCUCUGUGAUCUCUCCCCUCCUCUCUCUAUUGCCGCCAUCCUAAUGCAAGCUGUCAUCAUCUCUUUCUUGGCCAACUGUAGUAGAUGUAGUCUCAUCCAUUGUGGUUCUUUCUAGUCUGUCUGGGACUCAUGACAUCGUGCUUUUGGGAAACAGAAGUGAUAUCAUGUUACCCCCACCAGGUUAUCCUUGCUUGCCUUCUCAUUGCUGUAAGGAUAAAGACCACAGACCCUCACAUGGAUUUUACCUCCCUGGGCUACCCCAUUUGGCAGCUCCCCCGUGUGUUCUCCCUUCCUUUCCUCUGAGAGGUGAAUUGUGCCUUGUUCCCUCCUGCUAUGGGGCUUUGCACUUGUUUCUUGCCCUUCCUUCAUCAACUUGUUAUCUAACUCUAUCCUGUGCUUUAGAUCUUAACACAAGUGUCAUUUCCCUGACUCCAUGGAGAUGGGGUCGAGAUUUGUAGGCUUUGCUUAUUCUUCAUAGUCCUUUAGGUUUACAUUUAAUUUUGUGAGGAUUUGAUUAAUAUCUCAGUAACCAUGAUAGCAAGAAUAUCUUUUUGUUUUUGUUUUUGUUUUUUCACCAUUUUAACUUUGGUGCUGAAAAAUACUUGUCAUAUAGUUAGGACUCACAUAUUCAUGAAUGAAUGAAUGAAUGAAUGAAUGAAUGAACAUAGAUUGAGUUUUGAGCCCUGCACUUAACACGUUCUUUUUGUGUGACCUUGGACAAGCUUUUAUAGAGUUCAUUUAUAUUUCUCUGAUAGCUUUAAUCUAAAAAUAAUCAAAAUCGUUGUAUAUUUUUACUGUGACUUAACCAAUUGUAAAAAUUAUUCUAAAAAUACGCAGUUAUUUCUGAGAACAAUUACACUGACGCAUCGUUCCCUGAGUGAAACCUAUACAUACAUGUUCCAAGUAUAUGAAGCAGUUUUUUGGGGACAGAGUAACUUUUUUUUCCCCUCUGUUGAAAUAAGAUGGGCAACUCAGCUAGGGGAGGUGAGGUUUUGUUACAGGAUAUGCCUUGACUACUACCAUGUGGAGCAGGACUGCUGGACAUGUUGCCAGCCAUGACCGAGCACCUGAAAACCCUGUGGGAAACUACCUGCCUUUCAUCGAGUUAUUGGAAUAGGGAGAGCCUUAGGAGUCCUAAGGCAGAUUUUCAGCUUUAUAUGCUAGUUCUGGGAGCCGUGUUCUGCAGGCUCUGCCAAAAGACUUUGACCUCACAAGUGAGAUGUUCCAUCCUGAAGUCCUGGAUGCUGCUUCUCAAAACAUUAAUAGGAAGCGUGACAUCAAGCCAUGCUGGCUCUCUGAAGUUGGAGAAAUGCUGCAUGCUCACUUGGCUAACAAGGUGAACAUUACUCUGUCACCACAUUUUUAUCUAGUAUGCGUCCUAAUCUCAAGGAUCCAGCUAAGUUGUGUGUUGUCAGUUGGAGACAUUAGCUUGGGCAGUAAGCUCAGCCUUGCACUGCUUCUGGCAGGUUUACUCAUCUUCAUCCACUCUUAUCUCGAUAUGAGGAUAUCUGUUUUUUGAGCAUGUUCCAUAUCCAUGUUUCAUGUGAAAUUGCUUGUCAUUCUUGCUUAUCACUUAAAAUAAUAACUGGCUCCCUUCUUUUGUAGCAUUUGCUAAUAGUGGCAGAACUAUUUAUACGAUUAUGAUAAUCUGUCAAGAGGAUUAUGCAAAGUAUCUCCCCCCACCCCUUCUCUAAAGCAGAGUUAAAUUGAACACUGUAAAGGACAUUUUCAUAACCAAGGAUUUUUACCAAUUAUUUACUGUGGAUUUAAAUUGAUACUGAAUGACUGGAGGCAUUGAUUUUUAAAGCUGGAAAUAUUUACAAACCAUCCAAUUCUUUUUCCUUAGUAUUUUGUCUCUAGUUACUUCGAAAUCUCUCUCCUCUCUCUCUCUACACACACACACACACACACACACACACACACACACACACACACACACACAGAGAUGUAAAACAUACACAUAGAAAGACUUUAAGGAAAGACAUCAAAAUGGUAAAAGUCAUUAUACCUGGUUGGUUGAAUUGAAGUUAUUUUAUACUUCUUUAUACUUGCUUUCUUCAUGGGGAAAGUAUUUUUAUGAUCAAUAAAAAUAUUUUUCUGUAAUAUGUAUGUACUACUUUACAAUAUUAAAGCACUUUCACAUUUUUCCAAAAAUUAAAAGCACAGUGAAAUUUGCACAUUGAGAAACAUUUGGAGCCAAUUAAAUGCCACUUAUGUUUCUCUAAAAAAAAGGAAACUACUUUUAUUCAUGUAAUUAAGAGCCCCACUCAUGAACAUUAAAGAAUUGUUGCCCACUGUACUUUUGGUAUAUGUAGAAAUAUAAAACCAAAAAUGUAUAGUAUAAAAAUAAAAAAUAUACAAAAAGUAAAAAUAUACCAAUAACCCAGUAAAACAGGAUUUUGAUUGGUAUUUGGAGAAAUU